This 188-nucleotide small RNA is filed under the name uncultured Collinsella sp. Its description in RNAcentral is "Collinsella-1 RNA". It matches the Rfam family "Collinsella-1 RNA". Lineage: Bacteria; Bacillati; Actinomycetota; Coriobacteriia; Coriobacteriales; Coriobacteriaceae. The record is from RNAcentral.
CGGGACAGUGCGCAGUAGUGCGAGCUGCCCGUCGUGGUAGAUGUAAAUAAACGGUGGGACGGCUGCAAAAGAGCCUUUCCACUGGGUAAAAUCAAACUGUGCCGCGGAACCCGCUCCUCAGCUAGUCACACUUCGGAAGCGCGGGCAACGCAGGUAUUAUCGUCUAAAGGGCCGGCUGCAACCGGCCC